Non-coding RNA from Phyllosticta citriasiana, 89 nucleotides. The record is from the annotation of a GenBank genome assembly. NCBI's taxonomy places the organism in Eukaryota, Fungi, Ascomycota, Dothideomycetes, Botryosphaeriales, Phyllostictaceae.
GCUUCUAUGGCUCAGUUGGUAGAGCGCGGCACUAGUAUCGACAGAUGUCGGUGAUGCCGAGGUCCUGAGUUCAAAUCUCAGUGGAAGCA